AUUUUAUGGACUCAAAAACAUCUUAUUACCUUACUUUCUAAGAAACAAAUGGAUUUGAAACAAUUGUUCAUAGACAACCAAAAUAACCUUACUUUCUAUGUUGCAAAAUACAGAAUUAACAACAAAUUGUCUCUAUCUUCAAAUGCAAGGGCUCAUGUUCUGCUUCUUCUUUUGCUCUUCCUAUGAAAGUUGUGCUUGAUGAGACUUGAAAAUCAUCCUUCAACAAGAUUUGGAGCUGGUUUUUAAGCUUCUUUUACAUCAACUGUGCCAACAACAGGAACUGGCAUACCUUGCUACACAGAAAGCCAUCUCAACUAAAUAAAGUUCCUGAAAAAACUUAAAAGCUCAAGUCAUAAACCCCAACACUAAAUUUGACAUCACUCAGACACUCAUAUACAAUAUAAAGCCAAAUAGGUCAUGUUAUUCACCCUCUAGUUACCUUAUAUAUGCAGAAGUAGAAGCAUAGCCUGUGCAGAAACAUAUGCACAGCCUAAAACAAGUGAACAACAACAACAAAACUACACAGCAACUAAAACAAGUUCCCAAAGUCAUCCACAUAACUACAUAACAAAUAAAACAAGCCUACAAAGUCAUCCACAAAACUACACAGCAAUAAAACAAGUCUACACAUCAAUCUAUGCUAUUAUACUGUAAUCAUUCAUAAUCAAUCUAUCAAUACAUACAACCCAUAAAAUGGAAGAAGAAGAACACCCAACCAUGAAGAAGAACAGCCAGCAAAAAAAAAAAACGAUGCAGAGAAGAAGAACACCCAGCCAUUCAUAAUCAGUUUACAACAGAUCAAGCUAUCCAAACACCGACUCAAUAUGAUCAUCUAUCAAAUACAUAUCACCAAUAAACAGUUUCACCAAUGAAAUCGAUCUUCUUAAAAAUUGAACAAGAACACCCAGCCAUGAAAUUGAUCGAUUCAACGCAUUACACACCGAAUCUUUAAUCAAUCUAUCAAAUACAUACAACCCAUAACCAAUUUUCUAUGAAAUCAAUCUUUACUCAUUCCAAAUCGAUCUUUUCCAGAGAGGGUUUCAAGAUGCGUGUGUGAGAGAGAGAGAGAGAGAGAGAGAGAGAGAGAGAGAGAGGN
RNAcentral lists this long non-coding RNA (1096 nucleotides) under Fragaria vesca (wild strawberry). RNAcentral's name for it is "long non-coding RNA (FVES_LNC001857)". The record is from RNAcentral. Lineage: Eukaryota; Viridiplantae; Streptophyta; Magnoliopsida; Rosales; Rosaceae.